RNAcentral lists this long non-coding RNA (3227 nucleotides) under Marmota monax (woodchuck). The stretch from base 2966 to 3033 matches the Rfam family "Selenocysteine insertion sequence 1". The record is from RNAcentral. Lineage: Eukaryota; Metazoa; Chordata; Mammalia; Rodentia; Sciuridae.
CGGGCCCCUCGUCUGUCUGAGGGUCUGGUGGUGGUGGAGGUGGCUUAGCCCCACAGCCUUUACCCUCACCCCACACUUCCUGGGAAGGGGAAGCGUUUCCAAGAGGGCAUCCCAGCGCCAAUCUGUCCUCCCUGCUUAGUGCGGCGAGGGGACUCCCCAGGUCACCGGGUUCUUUGAAGUGAUGGUAGCCGGGAAGCUGGUUCACUCCAAGAAGGUAUAUCUCUGUGUGUGUCUUGUUUGGGGGUCAAGUAGGACUGGGGCGGAGGCUGGUGUGUGGGUCCAAGCUUGACCCUUUCUCUCUUUCCCCUCCCCAGAGAGGUGAUGGCUAUGUGGACACGGAGAGCAAGUUUCUGAAGCUGGUGGCUGCCAUCAAAGCCGCCUUGGCUCAGGGCUAGAGUGCCCUGAAGGCAGAGGUGAGGGGCCCAGGCAGGCGCUGACCUGGGACCAGUCUGGGAGAUGGGGGCAUCCAGGUGUCCCCGGGGCAGGAGGAGUGGAAACAAGGUCUGGGUGGUGCAGGAUGACUCCUGAGCUGGCAGUAAGCUGAGGGCUGCCCUCAGCAGCUCUCCUGGCUUUGGAAUAGAAGGUACUAAAGAGACACUCUGGAUUUUGUCCCUUUGCCAGGAAACAGUGACUAUCUGUGACUGUCAGCCCAGGUUACAGGCACAUUUGGAAACACAGCUCCUGUGCUCAGUAUUUUCAACCUGAUCACCAGUUAUCAGACACUGAACUUGAGACUUUUCCAGAGUGGGCCCACAAACACUUUAAGAAACUAACUGACAAAGAAUGUUCAAGAAACUGACACUAACUCUAGAACUGAUCACCUGCCCCAGAAGGGACUCCCUUCUUCCCCAGAGCAAUGUAGAAUCAAAUUCAGAACCAGCUGUCAGCAUACCCUGAACCCAGGCACCCCUUCCCACACCUGCACGGAACUGUGCAGACCAGCUCCCAAACUGCAGAACUGAUAUCUAGUUCCCUAUGUCCUCUGAGCCAGGUAGUUCCUUCCAGCCCAGCGCGUUCUAGAACACAUAGCCAUUUCCAUAACCCUCUGGAACAUGGACUGCUUUCCAGAGCCCUCUUGAGUUUGGUUUCAGUUUCCUCAAGUACAUUCCAGAUGAGUUCCAAACCCCUUCUCAUCUAGGACUGGGCACUACUCACCCGCGCAGACCAGGGCUAAGUUCUGGUUUUGGGGACAGUCCUUCCUUGACCCGCCUAUACUAGAGAUUGAGCUCAGGGCUGCUUUACCACAGAGCUUCAGCCUCAGCCUUUGAUUUCAAGACAGGGUCUGGCCAAGUUGCCAAGCCUGGCCUUGAACCUGCGAUCCUUCCCCCAAGUCACAGGGAUUGCGGGUGUGCACCACCUUCCUGCUCCAGAGCAGUGAGGCCACUCUGAAUUUGGACAUGCAGAUCUAAAGUAGUGACUACAGAAGGACAGUGGCAUCCUCCCUCCUGUGUGGGUCUGACAUGAAGCACCCCCACCCCCAAAUUGGAAACGAAUUUCUUGGUUCCACAGUGGCUGAGGGACGGUGGGUGGUGCCACGCAGUGGGAUUUGACUUGAACUCUGUGGAGUGAGCAGCUCUGUCUAAACCCCCCUCCAGUCAGUACUGGCAGAGGCUCCCUUGGAUUCCAGGGGGUGAGUCAAUAGAUGACGUCAUCUCCCAUAAAGGAAAGUGGGUUUGCAUAAGGAAGAAAUGGGGGGGAGACAAGUCUGUGAAGAGUGACUGUUUUUGUUUGUUUUGGUGCUUGGGGGUGGAACCCAGGGCCUGCCACCUGCUGAGCACAUGCCCUGCCCCAGGGCCACUGCCUGCCCCUGUUUGGUAGUGCUGUGGCUCUAGUUUUCAGGACCCUUGGAAGGAUUCAGAAGAACUCCAGCAGCUGUUCUGCAUGGUUCCAGGUUACCUAGGGGGGGGCAGAGGGUAGGGGUCACCAGGCAGGAGCUUGUGCCCUGUCCCCCAGACAGAUGCAGGCUGAUUGUGCCAGCUGCCAUGUUGACGAGAGGGGUGAAAACACUCCCCAGUUCUUGCGCUGGAGGGGCUCGCUGGCACCAUCGCGUCCCAGAUUUUUACUGGGGACUGGGCAUACACAGGGCUGGCCUUGUCUCCAGGCCCUCCAGAAUUUAAGCUGAGGCCACACUCCCAGAGCCCGCGACAGCAGCAGUGUUAGCACAGGUGGCUGUGGUUGAGGCAGAGUGAACCAGGGUGCCAGGCAGGCCAUCCCGAGGACUUCGGUACUUCCUCCCAGGAGCCAGGCUCUUGGGGCAAGGUGGUUCCUGCUGCACGUGGUGUGGCCGUCAGCUGGUGAAGAGCAGUAAAGUCUGUCAGGGUGGCACUGGCCUGUGAUCCCAGCGAGACUGAGGCAAGAGGGUUGCAUGUUCGAGGCCCGCCUCAGCAACUUGGCAAGAUCUUGUUUGAAAAUAAAAAAUGAGAAAAAGAAGGGCAGGGGGUGCGGGGAUAGGAGUUGGCUCAGUGGUAGAGUGCCCCUGGGUGCAAUCCCCAGGACCAAAGCAAAACUCCCCCUGAAUCUGUGUGUUAACCAGGUGGUGCACACCCGCAAUCCCAGCAAUUCAGGAGGCUGAGGCAGGAGAACCACAAGUUCGAGGCCAGCCUCAGCAAUGUGGCAAGACCCCUGUCUCAAAGACUAAAAGGGGCUGGGGAUGUGGCUCAGUGGUAAAGCACUCCUGGGUCCAUUUCCCAGUAUCAAGAAACAACCCCACGUGUGAGUUGCGGUGGGCUCUGGAGACGGGGUUUGGCUCUGGGCCACCAGGCUUUCUGUAGGCCAGCAGGUGGCUGCCCAUCACCUCUCUGCAGGCUCAGUGAGAGCUGGCCCUCAGCGGGUCCCUCCCUGUGCACCCUGUUUCCCUGGGCCUGCAGCUCUGUGUACCCUUGUCACACUGACCUGGGCCCAACCUGCUCCCCCCUCCCCCUCUUCUCUCCACAGUCCAGGGACCUUGGCCCAGGCCCGCUCAGCAGACGCUCUAUGACAGGAAGGACUGAAAUGUCUCCGGGACGCCUGGUCUUUUCUCGAUGUCCUUGCAGCCUCUGGGUCGGGGCUGAGUCGACGUCCCUGGUCUUUGCCUCUGCGUGGGGUGAGGUGUUUCCUCCAGAAGCCACGCCCACACAGGUGGUCUCAAGCCUGUCAUGGGGUCACCAAGAGAGCCCACACUUCCCUGCCCCCGCAUUGCCCUGCACCCCCCACCUCCCCUCUGUUCCUGGAGGAGGCCUGUCCCUCGC